Acromyrmex echinatior (Panamanian leafcutter ant) is the source of this 395-nucleotide long non-coding RNA. The record is from RefSeq and is a predicted model, not a curated record. NCBI's taxonomy places the organism in Eukaryota, Metazoa, Arthropoda, Insecta, Hymenoptera, Formicidae.
AUCUUUCAGUAUCGCCUAAACUACAAGAUAAACUCUUUACCUUACACGACGACCUUCGCGCAAGCGGCAGGCUUUAAGGUGACAUGGGAAUUGCCGAUCACCGGUGAGCUUCGGAACGUCCGGUCUAUCCCAAAUGUCCAUAAAUGCGCUCGUAUACGAAAGAAUAUCUGCCAGGGCCUGCAAUACGCGAAGCAGAAGGAUGGUGUUAUAGGAAAGAUAUUGAAAUUACUCACGGAGUUGUAUAUUAAUAAUAGUACUUGGCACGAAGAUCCUGUUCUGUGAGCAUCAUACUAUGAAUUGUUCUUUGCAAUUAGUCGGAUUUAAUAGUUUUAUAGAGAGCUAGCACUAAAGUAUCUUUGUUAGAGAGCAAGUUAACGAGUAAUUACUUGUUUAUU